GGGAUCUUGAGAGCGGCGUACGGGUGCGGAUCACGUGUGCAACCUGCCUUUAUCAGAGGGAUAGCCUUUCGAAAGGAAGAUUAAUACCUCAUAAUAUAAUGAAUGGCAUCAUUUAUUAUUGAAAACUCCGGUGGAUAGAGAUGGGCACGCGCAAGAUUAGAUAGUUGGUGAGGUAACGGCUCACCAAGUCGAUGAUCUUUAGGGGGCCUGAGAGGGUGAUCCCCCACACUGGUACUGAGACACGGACCAGACUCCUACGGGAGGCAGCAGUGAGGAAUAUUGGACAAUGGGUUAGCGCCUGAUCCAGCCAUCCCGCGUGAAGGACGACGGCCCUAUGGGUUGUAAACUUCUUUUGUACAGGGAUAAACCUACCCUCGUGAGGGUAGCUGAAGGUACUGUACGAAUAAGCACCGGCUAACUCCGUGCCAGCAGCCGCGGUAAUACGGAGGGUGCAAGCGUUAUCCGGAUUUAUUGGGUUUAAAGGGUCCGUAGGCGGAUGUGUAAGUCAGUGGUGAAAUCUCACAGCUUAACUGUGAAACUGCCAUUGAUACUGCAUGUCUUGAGUAAGGUAGAAGUGGCUGGAAUAAGUAGUGUAGCGGUGAAAUGCAUAGAUAUUACUUAGAACACCAAUUGCGAAGGCAGGUCACUAUGUCUUAACUGACGCUGAUGGACGAAAGCGUGGGGAGCGAACAGGAUUAGAUACCCUGGUAGUCCACGCCGUACACGAUGCUAACUCGUUUUUGGGCUUUCGGGUUCAGAGACUAAGCGAAAGUGAUAAGUUAGCCACCUGGGGAGUACGUUCGCAAGAAUGAAACUCAAAGGAAUUGACGGGGGCCCGCACAAGCGGUGG
Molecule: ribosomal RNA, 850 nt
Filed under: Chryseobacterium sp. RS-BIG-36
Lineage: Bacteria; Pseudomonadati; Bacteroidota; Flavobacteriia; Flavobacteriales; Weeksellaceae
Description: bacterial SSU rRNA
Rfam family: Bacterial small subunit ribosomal RNA
Source: RNAcentral